Molecule: ribosomal RNA, 371 nt
Filed under: uncultured organism
Description: bacterial SSU rRNA
Rfam family: Bacterial small subunit ribosomal RNA
Source: RNAcentral
CAGAGGGUGCGAGCGUUAAUCGGAAUUACUGAGCGUAAAGCGCGCGUAGAUGGUUAUGUAAGUCGGAUGUGAAAGCCCAGGGCUCAACCUUGGAAUUGCAUUCGAGACUGCAUAGCUAGGAUGCGGAAGAGGGAAGCGGAAUUUCCGGUGUAGCGGUGAAAUGCGUAGAUAUCGGAAGGAACACCAGUGGCGAAAGCGGCUUCCUGGUCCAGCAUCGACGUUCAGGCACGAAAGCGUGGGGAGCAAACAGGAUUAGAUACCCUGGUAGUCCACGCCAUAAACGAUGACAACUAGACGUUGAGAGGGUAAGCCUCCCAGUGUCGCAGCUAACGCGUUAAGUUGUCCGCCUGGGGAGUACGGCCGCAAGGUUG